Molecule: long non-coding RNA, 150 nt
Organism: Sphaeramia orbicularis (orbiculate cardinalfish)
Lineage: Eukaryota; Metazoa; Chordata; Actinopteri; Kurtiformes; Apogonidae
Exons: 2
Source: RefSeq, a predicted model, not a curated record
UAAGAUAAGGUAAGAUAAGGUAAGGUAAGGUAAGAUAAGGUAAGAUAAGAUAAGAUAAGAUAAGAUAAGAUAGAUAAGCUAAGACUUUACUGAUCCACUUUGGGGUAAUUUGACAGUUGACAGCAACAACAUCCAACACACCAGUGCACA